AUGUUGAACGGCAGCACAUAUACUAAAAUUGGAACGAUACAGAGAAGAUUAGCAUGGCCCCUGUGCAAGGAUGACAUGCAAAUUCGUUAGGCUGGAGAGAUGGCU
Small nuclear RNA from Arvicola amphibius (Eurasian water vole), 105 nucleotides. NCBI's taxonomy places the organism in Eukaryota, Metazoa, Chordata, Mammalia, Rodentia, Cricetidae. The record is from RefSeq and is a predicted model, not a curated record.